Molecule: ribosomal RNA, 776 nt
Filed under: uncultured bacterium
Lineage: Bacteria
Description: bacterial SSU rRNA
Rfam family: Bacterial small subunit ribosomal RNA
Source: RNAcentral
AUGCAGUCGAACGAGAAAGCACCCUUCGGGGUGUGAGUACAGUGGCGAACGGGAGAGUAACGCGUGGGAAACCUACCAUUGAGCGGGGGAUAACAUCCCUAACGGGGUGCUAAUACCGCAUACGUCGAUGUGUCUCCUGACACAUCGGGAAAGCGGGCCUCUACAUGUAAGCUCGCACUCAAUGAUGGUCCCGCGUCCUAUUAGCUUGUUGGUGGGGUAACGGCCUACCAAGGCAACUAUAGGUAGCCGGCCUGAGAGGGUGUCCGGCCUCACUGGGACUGAGAUACGGCCCAGACUCCUACGGGAGGCAGCAGUCGAGAAGCUUCGGCAAUGGGCGAAAGCCUGACCGAGCGACGCCGCGUGAGCGAUGAAGGCCCUUGUGGUUGUAAAGCUCUGUCAGGAGGGGAUAAAGCGUCGUGGUUAAUACCCACUACGUCUGAAGGUACCUCCAGAGGAAGCUCCGGCUAACUCCGUGCCAGCAGCCGCGGUAAUACGGAGGGAGCAAACGUUGUUCGGAUUUACUGGGUGUAAAGGGUGCGUAGGCGGCUACGUGUGUCGGAGGUGAAAUCCAGCGGCUCAACCGUUGGACUGCCCCCGAAACUGCGUAGCUUGAGUCCGUGAGAGGUUGGUGGAAUUCCUGGUGUAACGGUGAAAUGUGCAGAUAUCAGGAAGAACACCCGUGGCGAAGGCGGCCAACUGGCACGGUACUGACGCUGAGGCACGAAAGCUAGGGUAUCGAACGGGAUUAGAUACCCCGGUAGUCCUAGCCGUAAACG